This is a non-coding RNA of Potamilus streckersoni, 85 nucleotides long. The record is from the annotation of a GenBank genome assembly. Lineage: Eukaryota; Metazoa; Mollusca; Bivalvia; Unionida; Unionidae.
GGUUCAGUACUGCUCUGGUGGCCUAAAUGAUUAGAGCGUUUGCCUCAAAUGCAGGAAGUCACAGGUUCAAAUCCUAACUGAGUCA